CGACGUAGGUAACCUGCCUGGUAGCGGGGGAUAACUAUUGGAAACGAUAGCUAAUACCGCAUAAUAUUAAUUAUUGCAUGAUAAUUGAUUGAAAGGUGCAAUUGCACCACUACCAGAUGGACCUGCGUUGUAUUAGCUAGUAGGUGAGGUAACGGCUCACCUAGGCGACGAUACAUAGCCGACCUGAGAGGGUGAUCGGCCACACUGGGACUGAGACACGGCCCAA
This 226-nucleotide ribosomal RNA is filed under the name uncultured bacterium. RNAcentral's name for it is "partial 16S ribosomal RNA". It matches the Rfam family "Bacterial small subunit ribosomal RNA", at positions 113 to 334 of the family's 1533-position model. The record is from RNAcentral.